AUUGAACGCUGGCGGCAAGCCUCAUACAUGCAAGUCGAGCGAGAACGUUACUUCGGUAGCUAGUAAAGCGGCGGACGGGUGAGUAACGCGUAGGAAUCUACCUUUCAGCGGGGGAUAGCUCGGGGAAACCCGAAUUAAUACCGCAUACACCCUAAGGGGGAAAGAGGGCCUAUCCUUGGAAGCUCUCGCUGUUAGAUGAGCCUGCGUGAGAUUAGUUUGUUGGUGGGGUAAUGGCCUACCAAGACUACGAUCUCUAGCUGGUCUGAGAGGACGAUCAGCCACACUGGGACUGAGACACGGCCCAGACUCCUACGGGAGGCAGCAGUAGGGAAUAUUGGACAAUGGGGGCAACCCUGAUCCAGCUAUGCCGCGUGUGUGAAGAAGGCUCUAGGGUUGUAAAGCACUUUAGGUAAGGACGAAAAGAAUAUAGUUAAUACCUAUAUUCCGUGACUUAACUUACAGAAUAAGGACCGGCUAACUCCG
This 483-nucleotide ribosomal RNA is filed under the name uncultured Candidatus Portiera sp. RNAcentral describes it as "bacterial SSU rRNA". It matches the Rfam family "Bacterial small subunit ribosomal RNA", at positions 30 to 505 of the family's 1533-position model. Lineage: Bacteria; Pseudomonadati; Pseudomonadota; Gammaproteobacteria; Johnevansiales (SeqCode); Johnevansiaceae (SeqCode). The record is from RNAcentral.